AAGGGUAUAGCUCAGUGGUAGAGCAUGUGCUUAGCAUGCACAAGGUGCUGGGUUCUAUUUCCAGUACCUUCA
RNAcentral lists this transfer RNA (72 nucleotides) under Camelus dromedarius (Arabian camel). It matches the Rfam family "tRNA". Rfam says of the family: Transfer RNA (tRNA) molecules are approximately 80 nucleotides in length. Their secondary structure includes four short double-helical elements and three loops (D, anti-codon, and T loops). RNAcentral also lists the same sequence under 1 other name. The record is from Rfam by way of RNAcentral. Lineage: Eukaryota; Metazoa; Chordata; Mammalia; Artiodactyla; Camelidae.